Molecule: small nuclear RNA, 186 nt
Organism: Tachyglossus aculeatus (Australian echidna)
Lineage: Eukaryota; Metazoa; Chordata; Mammalia; Monotremata; Tachyglossidae
Product: U2 spliceosomal RNA
Exons: 1
Source: RefSeq, a predicted model, not a curated record
AUUGCUUCUCGGCCUUUUGGCUAAGAUCAAGUGUAGUAUCUGUUCUUAUCAGUUUAAUAUCUGAUACGUCCUCCCCAUUUUAGACUGUGAGUCCGCUGUUGAGUAGGGACCGUCUCUAUAUGUUGCCAACUUGUCCUUCCCAAGCGCUUAGUACAGUGCUCUGCACACAGUAAGCGCUCAAUAAAU